RNAcentral lists this ribosomal RNA (253 nucleotides) under uncultured bacterium. RNAcentral's name for it is "partial 16S ribosomal RNA". It matches the Rfam family "Bacterial small subunit ribosomal RNA", at positions 524 to 776 of the family's 1533-position model. The record is from RNAcentral.
GACGAACCGUCCAAACGUUAUUCGGAAUCACUGGGCUUAAAGGGUGCGUAGGCGGCUCAGAAAGUAGUGUGUGAAAGCCCUCGGCUCAACCGAGGAAUUGCGCGCUAAACUACUGGGCUUGAGGAAGACAGAGGUAAGCGGAACUUAGGGUGGAGCGGUGAAAUGCGUUGAUAUCCUAAGGAACACCAGGAGCGAAGGCGGCUUACUGGGUCUUUUCUGACGCUGAGGCACGAAAGCUAGGGGAGCGAACGGG